Molecule: microRNA precursor, 157 nt
Filed under: Pelobates cultripes (western spadefoot toad)
Lineage: Eukaryota; Metazoa; Chordata; Amphibia; Anura; Pelobatidae
Source: RNAcentral
GCAGACACAUACCAGCCAAUCGGCAGCAGACCCUCCCUCCCAGACCCUCCCACCUCCUGGACAGCAUCCAUUUUGAAGCUGCUUUCUUAGUGAGCUGUCCAGGAGGUGGGAGGGUCUGGGAGGGAGGGUCUGCUGCUGAUUGGCUGGAAUGUGUCUG